GACGAACGCUGGCGGCGUGCUUAACACAUGCAAGUCGAACGGAAAGGCCCUGCUUUUGUGGGGUUCUCGAGUGGCGCACGCGUGAGUAACACGUGAGUAACCUCCCCCUGUCUUUGUGAUAACUUCAGGAAACUCGGGCUCAUACCCCAUAGGAUCUCCUGCUGCAUGGUGUGGGUUGGAAAGUUUCGGCGGUUGGGGAUGGACUCGCGGCUUAUCAGCUUGUUUGUGUGGUAGUGGCUUACCAAGGCUUUGACGGGUAGCCUGCCUGAGAGCGUGACCGGCCUCAUGGGGACUGAGAUACGGCGCAGAAUGCUACGGGCGGCAAUGGGCGGAAAUAUGACGGAAUAGCGCGAAGUGAGAGGUAGCGACGCCCGGAGCGGGAUACUCGGCUACGGGUGGUGAACAGAUUUGGAAUGUGACGAGGAGUGAGUGACGGUAAUGAGUAAAAAAGCACCGGCUAACUACGUG
Molecule: ribosomal RNA, 468 nt
Filed under: uncultured bacterium
Lineage: Bacteria
Description: partial 16S ribosomal RNA
Rfam family: Bacterial small subunit ribosomal RNA
Source: RNAcentral